GCCGCUAUAGCUCAGUGGUAGAGCACUGGUCUCGUAAACCAGGGGUCGUGAGUUCGAUCCUCACUGGCGGCA
This 72-nucleotide transfer RNA is filed under the name Dermacentor andersoni. Its description in RNAcentral is "transfer RNA threonine (anticodon CGU)". It matches the Rfam family "tRNA". Rfam says of the family: Transfer RNA (tRNA) molecules are approximately 80 nucleotides in length. Their secondary structure includes four short double-helical elements and three loops (D, anti-codon, and T loops). Lineage: Eukaryota; Metazoa; Arthropoda; Arachnida; Ixodida; Ixodidae. The record is from RNAcentral.